Xiphophorus couchianus (Monterrey platyfish) is the source of this 2203-nucleotide long non-coding RNA. RefSeq lists it as uncharacterized. The record is from RefSeq and is a predicted model, not a curated record. NCBI's taxonomy places the organism in Eukaryota, Metazoa, Chordata, Actinopteri, Cyprinodontiformes, Poeciliidae. The transcript is spliced from 5 exons.
AGUAAAAUCAGAGAAACUUUACAUUUUUUCCAGAGGUGAAUAAAUUCAGUUUGAAACAGAAUCUCUAGAUCACAUCAUAGCUGCCAACAUCUGCUAACAUUAAUGAGACACAAGCAGCUGUGGAGUCACUCAGUAUUAGUGGGGUCUGUUCCCCGGAAAUUAAAAUAAAAUCUACUUAAAACUUUGCAUUUCCAGUCAUUUGAAGAACAUUUUACUAACUGCAUAGGAUUAAUAAACCUAAAACCAGUUUAUUAUCAAGGUAGACAUUUAUUUAUUAGACAAGGUAGAACUUUAUUUGAAAAUCAUACUUAGAAAUUUUUAUCUGAACGUUAUGCAGCUGUUGGCCUUUUUUCUUUAAACAAGAAUGUUUAUCCAUCUAUGGAAAAGUAGAAAUUAUGAGUCAGACUUUUACUAUUUCAGUUCACAGUUCAUGAAGUGGGUCUGUCAUAGUUUCAGUACCAAAACACAUUUCUGUUCACACAGAACCAGCCUAACAUUCUGCACUGUUCUUUAGUUUGACAUUAUUUAAGUGACUCCAGAGAUAUUUGGGUAAUUAAUUACAAAACAACACAACAGUCACUAAUUAAACUUCAAAAAAGAGCAAUAAGAGUAAUUAACAAGGCUAAGGACCAGGAUCAGACUAAUACAUUAUUUAUCCAAAUAUUUUGCACAUAUUUUGCAUGUAAAUAUAUAUAUAUAUAUAUAUAUAUAUACAGUAUAUAAUGGUCUUUACUGUUUUCUUUAGAGGCUGGUUCUAGGCCAGAUUUACCACAGGGCCCGUGCAGACAGUGUUUUUAUGGAGACACUUAAAAAAAGAAUUAAACAAAAACAGAUUAAUAUUUCAUCAUUUAAUAAUGUGAACAAAGAGCCACUUGUGUCUCCAGAGAUUCAGGUUGCAGGUCUCUGAUUUAGCAGAUGGAAAGUGUGAUCCUAUCUCCAUACAGCAGUUAAAGUACCAUAAUUCUUAAUUCAUUUAAUUAAUUUUUAUUAAAAAUAAUUUUUAUGUAUUUUUAAUAAUACCUUAAAAAGAAAAUUGUGAAGAAGAAAUAUCUACCACUGAAUAUUUAAAAAAUAUAUUUAUUUAGUAUAAUUUCUUUAGAGCCCCACAGUUUCCAUCCUCUCUGAAAUUGUUCAGCUUAUAAUGCGUCUUUUCACAUUUUUAAAAGCGUUUUUGCUUCUAAGGAUCAGAUUUUUUUCCUUUCUGCUAUUCUGCUGGUUUUACGGGUUUUACUUUGAGUUUGGACUGAAAGUUGUCAAAUCUGGUUACUGCCAAACGGCGCCAUGUUUGUUUUUUUAAUUAGCGCGCAGUGAGGCGCAUGCGCCGUGCUGGAUAGAAAUAUGACGUGAGCGUUUAAAAGGCCCAGUUCGACCAGGCCGCACCGAGACACUAAACCAGUAUUCUGAUAUUCAUCCGCCGUGGAACCCGGGUUUUAAAAUCUCCUUUUCUCCCAAGACGCCGAAAUGGACGCCCAGCCUGAAAAACUACAAACUUCUGCGGAUUCACCUGAAAUCGUCUCCGUGUUGAUUGGGCCUCCUAGUCUGGCGCCUAAACACACCUGCUGAGAAUCAGGUGGAGUGGGCGAACAGGCCGCGGGACCGCCAUCUUUGAAAUCGCUGCGUUUGUUGCAAGCAGCAGAGGACGGACCCGGCCAUGGCGUCUCAGCGGUGGUUUGUCUGGCUGCUGAUGAGGACAAGCUGAGGACCGCCAUCUUUGAAAUCGCUGCGUUUGUUACAAGCAGCAGAGGACGGACCCGGCCAUGGCGUCUCAGCGGUGGUUUGUCUGGCUGCUGAUGAGGACAAGCAGGCCGCGGGGCCGCCAUCUUUGAAAUCGCUGCGUUUGUUACAAGCAGCAGAGGACGGACCCGGCCAUGGCGUCUCAGCGGUGGUUUGUCUGGCUGCUGAUGAGGACAAGCUGAGGACCGCCAUCUUUGAAAUCGCUGCGUUUGUCACAAGCAGCAGAAGGCCACCCGACCACGGCAUCGCAGCGAUGGUUUGUUUGGGUGCUGGCGUCCCUGAAAUAUGAGGAAAAAAUGGCGUCUGGAGCCAGCAGCUGAUCGAUUAUGGAUAAACUACAAUCAAGCUGAGGAUCGCUUCAAUCAAGCUGAGGAUUCCCUACAAGGUGCCUGGCGGAUCCGCCCAACCCAUCAAAGGUUUGUUAAGUCAAAGAACUGUUCCAAUGGCGGGUCCAGAAGACAUCUCAAAG